GUCCGCACUGUAAACGAUGAUUACUCGCUGCUAGAUGGCAACAUUUAGUGGCUUAGCGAAAGCGAUAAGUAAUCCACCUGGGGAGUACGCCGGCAACGGUGAAACUCAAAGGAAUUGACGGGGGCCCCGCACAAGCGGAGGAGCAUGUGGUUUAAUUCGAUGAUACGCGAGGAACCUUACCAGGGCUUGAAAGUUAGUGACCGCUCCUGAAAGGGAGCUUUCCGCAAGGACACGAAACUAGGUGCUGCAUGGCUGUCGU
RNAcentral lists this ribosomal RNA (259 nucleotides) under uncultured bacterium. RNAcentral's name for it is "partial 16S ribosomal RNA". It matches the Rfam family "Bacterial small subunit ribosomal RNA", at positions 793 to 1055 of the family's 1533-position model. The record is from RNAcentral.